CAGCGGAGGAAAAGAAACCAAAAGGGAUUCCCCGAGUAACGGCGAGUGAAAAGGGACCAGCCCAGCGCAAAGGCCGCUCGCCCUAACGGGUGCUGCGUGCGAUGCUGCGUUAAUGCCGGGGCGACCGCCUCACCGGCGACUGUGCGUGCAAGUUCCUUUGAAUAGGACCAAUUUAACCCAUAGUGGGUGGAAGGCCCAUAGCGCGUCGCGGUCGCCGAGAGCUAGCCUCGGCAUGGUAGAGUCACGUUGCUUGAGAGUGCAGCGUAAAGACGCGAGGUAAACUCCUCGUAAGGCUAAAUAAGACUGCGAGACCGAUAGCAAACAAGUACCGUGAGGGAAAGUUGCAAAGAACUUUGAAGAGAGAGUUCAAAAGGACGUGAAACCGCUUGCGGGUAAACGGGUGGAGCCACGAAGUCAGAACGGCGCGGAGAUUCAGCCGCUGGCCUGGUGUAGUUGGUGAGCGUGGGGGCCUUCGGGUCACUCGCUCGCCGGCGCUUGAUGCCGGGCCGGCGGUGCACUUCUCGCGGUGCCGGGACGAUGCUCUGACCGAUUGGAACGCUGCGGCAGCUGUAACGGGAGUCCAGCGGGCAGGUAGCGACAACGGGCCCUCGGGCCUGGCGUCGUGAUAUAGCCCGCUGCUCGGAACUAGCCGCAGAUCGCCGAUCGGAGUAAGUCGCCUUWGGGCGUUGCAGACGGGGUGGCAGGGGGCUGCGCGGUGGCUGUGUUGACUGUGCGAUGUCACGGCGCUUUCGGGCGUUGUGCGCGUGCUUUCUGAUCGGCCAGUCCGCGCGGCGCCCUUGCCGCUCUGAGCAAUCGAGAG
This 820-nucleotide ribosomal RNA is filed under the name Linopodes sp. Its description in RNAcentral is "partial large subunit ribosomal RNA". Lineage: Eukaryota; Metazoa; Arthropoda; Arachnida; Trombidiformes; Cocceupodidae. The record is from RNAcentral.